GGGCGUCGAGCGGCGGACGGGUGAGUAACGCGUAGGAAUCUACCCAGUAGCGGGGGAUAGCCCGGGGAAACCCGGAUUAAUACCGCAUACGCUCUUUUCUGUGACAGGGAAAGAGGAAAGCGUGGGACCUUUUCGAAGGCCUCUNUUUNUUGGAGGAGCCUGNGUUGGAUUACCUAGUUGGUAGGGUAAAGGCCUACCAAGGCGACGAUCCAUAGCUGCCCCCGAGAGGAAGAUCANCCCCCCUGGGACUGANACACNGCCCANACUCCUACGGGAGGCACA
RNAcentral lists this ribosomal RNA (282 nucleotides) under uncultured bacterium. RNAcentral describes it as "partial 16S ribosomal RNA". It matches the Rfam family "Bacterial small subunit ribosomal RNA", at positions 86 to 350 of the family's 1533-position model. The record is from RNAcentral.